UAUCCGUAGGUGAACCAGCGGAAGGAUCAUUACAAGGUUUCUAUAGGGGCAGGUAAUAGCGUUCGUUAGAUAACUCCUCCCUUGUGUGUUCGUCUUUGGUGCCGUGGCCGGCCGCGAGAUCGCCCACGGAUGGAGCACCGGCAUUGGCAGGAGAGCGUUUGAUAGAGGGCCCAACCCUGUUCUUUAUGUCGUCAGAGUACUAUUUAAUAGAUAAAACUUUCAACAACUGAUCCCUUGGUUCUGGAAUCGACAAAGAACAAAAGCAAACGGAAGAACCCC
This 279-nucleotide unclassified non-coding RNA is filed under the name plant metagenome. RNAcentral's name for it is "partial contains small subunit ribosomal RNA, internal transcribed spacer 1, and 5.8S ribosomal RNA". The record is from RNAcentral.